UUUUGUUUUGUUUGUUUUGAGACGGAGUUUUACUCUUGCUGCCCAGGCUGGAGUGCAAUGGUAUGAUCCUGGCUCACCGCAACCUCCGCCUCCCAGGUUCAAGUGAUUCUCCUGCCUCAGCUUCCCAAGUAGCUGGGAUUACAGAUAAGAGAAAGGCCAGAUCCAACAAACAUUGACUGAGCCAUCACCAAAUGUGGGGCCCCGCGGCAGAGACUCGAAGGGUCGUUCUGCAUAAAAAAGUUGAUGACAGCAUAGCUUCGUUUAUACAGCUGGGACCCUCUGGAGUCUACAGAUGGAUUGUUAGAGAUGUGGCCUGCCAGCUGCCUUUGGAGAGUAGCCAAAUCUGCUGGGACCCAGCCACUUCAGGCACAGAUGUGCUUGCCUUUCCUGAAUGGAUGUCUUCCAGAAACGUUGGCUGUGAUGUCUGGUUUUUGUAUCUAUUGUUACUUCCAACGAAGACACAUAUACAAAAGACUCCUGGCUGCCUUUUAAAUGAAAACGUGCAGCAUAUUAGGAUCAAUCAUUUGUCUAAUGUUGGUAAGAGGGCUCACACCUAUAAUUCCAGCACUUGGAAGGCCAAGGUGAACGAAUCACCUGAGGUCAGCAGUUUGAGACCAGCCUGGCCAACAUGGCUUAGAAUCAAGUUGGAGAUCCCAAACUUCAAUAUGUACUUCUUCCUAAAACGUAUCCGCUUGAGAAAGUAUCCAUGGUGGAGGCAGCAAGCCAGUCUUACUUUUCUACCUCUCCUUUCACCAUUGAUCUCCUUGCACUUUACUAAAGAGAGGCAAACUCUCACCCACCCUGGCUCUCACUAUGGCACAUUGCCUCAGGAAUGUAAGCACUUCUUGGAAAAUAAACAAAGAGGCAAUUUGAAAUACUGUGCUAGUGUCAAAAAAGUGGAUGACUCUAAUUAA
This 914-nucleotide long non-coding RNA is filed under the name Papio anubis (olive baboon). Its description in RNAcentral is "lncRNA (ENSPANG00000036962.1)". Lineage: Eukaryota; Metazoa; Chordata; Mammalia; Primates; Cercopithecidae. The record is from RNAcentral.